This 72-nucleotide transfer RNA is filed under the name Candidatus Omnitrophota bacterium. RNAcentral's name for it is "tRNA-Met". It matches the Rfam family "tRNA". From Rfam's summary of the family: Transfer RNA (tRNA) molecules are approximately 80 nucleotides in length. Their secondary structure includes four short double-helical elements and three loops (D, anti-codon, and T loops). Lineage: Bacteria; Pseudomonadati; Candidatus Omnitrophota. The record is from RNAcentral.
UGCGGGGUGGAGCAGUGGCAGCUCGUCGGGCCCAUAACCCGGAGGUCGGAGGUUCGAAUCCUCUCCCCGCUA